ACUUCUUCCUUUUUUCAGUAGGUCUCGGUUCCCUUGCGAGUUCUUUCUCACCCCUCCCCCAUCAGCUCGUGGAAGCUUGGAGUGUGGAGCACAGCAAACCAAGGGGCCUCCUUUGGGACCCUGUGACAGUGCAGGGCUGCACCUGAGCCCUGUGCCUCUGGACAACAGCCAAGGGCAAUUGCCCACACUUGUAUGUCAGAUGUCUCCCACCCUUUUGUGUUCCAGGAAAUGACUUACUGCAAAGAACCACUCUUCCCCACGAGACUUCGAGAAGACCCGCUGUCACGGACUGAGUUGUGUCCUCUUAAAAUUCAGAUGUUGGAGUCCAAACCCCCAGUAACUCAGAGUGUGAACGUAUUUGAAGAGGUCUUUAAAGAGGUGAUGAAGGGAGAGAGACCCCAUGAGCUCGUCAAGCUCCUUCUGUGACUGAUCAGAGAUCCCACCGUGAGUCCAGCUCCUGGUCCCAUGCUCUGGAUAUAUCGGUCCCUGGCAGCGUGCCAGGCAGCCAAAUGGACAGCUCUAUAAGACUCAAGCCGACAGCGGAGAGAGUGCAACCAAACAGCCUUGGCCCAGCUUUCAGAGGAGAACGUUAUUCACCCCAACUGCUCUGCAUCUGCCUGGAUGUCUGCCAAGAUCUCAGUCUUCUUUCCACCAAUGACCCCUCGCGCUGCUUCCAGAAGCCAAGAAAGUGGGCUUUGUCCUUGGGGAUUUAGGAGGCGGAGCGGCGCCCCCUUGAGGCCACAUGGUGGAGGCAGCGAUGAGACCUGGAGUCUAAAAUUCAGACUGAAUCACAGGAAGAAGCUAUUUACACAAGUCAAACAUGGUCCAAUCUUGGCAAUUUCAUAAGGUUCCAAUCCUUAAGGGAUCAAAACCUGGCCAACUGCUUCCACCGAGAGGUGUGCCUUUCAAUGCCAGGCUUGGAGUGUCCCUCUUUAUUUAAAAAGGAGAGGAUUCCACAGCAGAGCUUCUCAAACUCUUCCACCCAAAUCCCCUCACCACAGAGGGACAGGAGUCCUGGGCAUGUAGCCUAAAGCAGCCAGGAGAAAAAAACCUUGACCUUAAUUUUUUUAAUGAUUUCACAUGAAUCAGUGGAAUGUGUUUAUGAUAAAAUCAUCUCCUCCUGAAAUACAUGUGUAAAACUGCUGCCCCAGUUAAACGCACUUAGUCUAACCAAGCCCUAGGAUUGGCCUCUCCAGCAUGAGAAGCAUUUCCAGCACUCCAGCUCCCCAGCUCCCACUCUGGGAUCCCACCUCAGACCCUCCCACUUCCUUGCACUCUGGCCUCUCGCUCUUGACCCUGCUCCCGCCACGCUCUUUCCUCAGAGUCCAUCAGUCCUGUCUUGUCUUCACCUUGGUCUCUGCCAAGUGUGGGUCCAAGUCAUAUAUUUGGGCUGUGAUCACAGGAACCCCAAGCCCCAGACCUCCCAAAGCACCCUAUGGAGAGACCUUACCCUCCUGGACAGACCCUCUCCCCCCAGCUAGACCUCAUCCUCUGGGUAGACCCAUCUCCCCAACCAGAACUCACCCUCCUGAGUAAACCCCAUCCCCCUAGCUAGACUUCAUCCUCCUGGACAGAUCCCAUCCCCCCAGCUAGACCUCACCCUCUUGGGUAGAUGCAUCUCCCCAACCAGAACUCUCCUGGGUAGACCCCUUCUACCCAGCUAGACCUGAUCCUCUGGACAGACCCCAUCAUCCCAGCUAGACUUCUCCCUCCUGGACUGUCCCCAUCCCCCCUCCAGCCAGACCUCACCCCUCUGGGUAGACCCCAUCCCCCCAACUAGACCUCACCCUCCUGGAUGGACUCUACCCUCCUGGAGAUACCUUCCCCUCCUGGGUACAUCCCACGUGGCUACACACUCCUUCCCCUGUCAGCUUUCUCCCCCAGGGUUCUGGGCAGCAGAGUCUGUGAUAAAGGAUACUAAGUGAUUCCCCAAUACUUCCCGUUUCCAGCCUCCAGUGGGCUCUCCCUGGGGCUAACGGUUCUUUUUGCUAUUUCUCCAGGCUUUGCCUGAUGACAAGUAUACUCUGAGAGUGUCCUAAUGAUACAGAUUUUGGACCCUAUCCCAGUUCUACUGAAUCCAAGUCUCUGGGGGAGGAGUUGGGGCUCUGCAUCUGGACACCUUCCUGCAGGGUCCCUCCUGGGAGGCAAGCCCGGGGAGCACCGCUGAGGCUCGCCUCAGUGCCCAUCCUAGACCUUCAGCAGCUAGCAGAGGAUGUCCCCACCAUCCCUCAGCCCACACUCCCACUGUCGCCCCAGCCAGGCUUGGCACUGCCUCCUUUCUCAGAAGAUUAAGACCAUCUGCUGUUUCCCAAGUUUCCCACCCUCCACCCUAAAAAUUUCUCCGUUUCCCAGUCUUUCCUCGUCUCUCAGAAAAUAAACAUCUUCCCAGGCUGCCUCCCCAGUGGGUCUGCACUCCUUGCUGUCUUCCCAGCACCUGCCCUUCCAGCCCGCCCUCUGUGUGUCCAGUGUUUCCCUCACCAAAGGACUCGCUUUGUUUUUCAAAUUGGAGGUUUUGUCUUCUCCCUAAAAACCAAAACAUCUCCCUGAGAAGUAACUCCCUCAAGCUACUGAUACGGAAGGGGGGCGGGGAAGUGCUGGGAAGGGAAGGGUGUGGUCCCUGGCUAGGGCUCCACCCCCGGGCCUGUGCCCACAGACCUAGGUGAGGACAGGCAUUUCUGUUUUCGUGCUUAAAUGUUGGAUUUCCCAAGACUACCCUGGCCUACCACACCCUCAUUCUGUGCCUGUAAAAAAACCUGAGAGCUUAGCAGGCACGCACACAAGCCUCUGGACGUCAAGAGGAACACACCGGUGUAAGAGCAGACUGAUAGUGGCCCACGGCAGGCUGGCAGGCCAUCGACAGGCAGAACCACUCAGUGCAGCUGGAGGACAGCCUGGCCACGGAGCGGUCCGACUUCAGAGGGGAAAACCACCUCCCCACUCCGUCUCCCUUCUGGCUCCCCCAUCUGAGAGCUACUUCCACUCAAUAAAACCUUGCACUCAUUCUCCAAGCCCAUGUGUGAUCUGAUUCUUUUGGUGCACGGAGGCAAGAAACCUCAGGAUACAGAAAGCCUCUGUCCUUGGAAUAAGGCAGGAGGUCUAACAGCUGACUAGGGAUGGCUCAACUGAAACAGCAUCCUGUAACACAGGCCCAUUGGGACCUCAGGAGCUGUAAACAUUCACCCUUAGACAUUGCUGUGGGGUUGGAGCCCCACCACCUGCCCAUCUGCAUGCUCCCCCUACAGGUUUGAGCAGCGGGGCACAGAAGAAGCCAGCCACACCUCCAUCGCAAGCCCUGCCACGGGGAUAAGGGAACUUUUCCCGUUUUGCCACCAGCUCAAGCCCCGCCUUCCUGUCACUCCACACUCUUCAUCUCUGUGUAUGGGUGUGGUCUUCCUCAGUUCCUUCUCUGGCCUCACACAGUGCCCUGAAUAAUGCUUUGCAAGGCCUUUGCCAGGAGCCUAGGUGAAAGGCAGAAGAGGUGCCCCUGCAGCAUCGCAAGGUAGAGAUCGUGGUUACAAGAUGGGGACUAGACUCCCAGUUUGCCCUUGGACUGGGCAGCCCCUUGGAUUUUGUUUUCCCUGACGUUGCUGUUCUGAUCCAAGGCCUUGUGGCCUCGCUACAGACACCCAAGGCCAGGCCUAUCUUUGCAUGAAUAACUAAAGAAAGCCUAGAGGAUGAGUAAAAUGACCACACUGUAUGGCUUUGGAGGACUGGAAGUUACUGAGGACUAUGAGUGGGUUUUUUGCAUAGACUGCAGUAAAGGUCCUCAGAAAAGACCCUCAAGAGCUAUGGGGGGGUCUGGUCAAAUGCCACUUCUAGACUGGACUCCAAAACUGGUGCUGAUUAUUUUCACUCCUACCCCACCCACCAGCCUGAUAGGCGAUUCCUGAAGUAGCAGUGGGGCGCUCAGUGGUGCUCACCAGGCCCAGAGCUCAGUCCUUCCCCCAUUCUGCCUGAUGGGGCUUGUGUAACCAAGGAUGACAGAUGGGACAAUCCCUGUUGGUAAAGACUGAGUUGAUUCUGACCAGGACCAGAGAUAAAACCCAGCACCUUUAUCUUUCCCCUUUGUACCUUCUUCAGAAAGACCUUCUUCUGCAGCAGUUCUGGAACUGUGAUCUGUGAGGUAUCUCACAGAAUCUCUGACCAAUGGAGAGCUAAUCAAAGACAAGUUUAAUAGGUGAAG
RNAcentral lists this long non-coding RNA (4183 nucleotides) under Homo sapiens (human). RNAcentral describes it as "non-protein coding lnc-F13A1-3:23". The record is from RNAcentral. Lineage: Eukaryota; Metazoa; Chordata; Mammalia; Primates; Hominidae.